This 486-nucleotide ribosomal RNA is filed under the name uncultured Bacteroidota bacterium. Its description in RNAcentral is "bacterial SSU rRNA". It matches the Rfam family "Bacterial small subunit ribosomal RNA", at positions 25 to 506 of the family's 1533-position model. The record is from RNAcentral. Lineage: Bacteria; Pseudomonadati; Bacteroidota.
CAGGAUGAACGCUAGCGGCAGGACUAACACAUGCAAGUCGAACGGGAUCUUCAAGCUUGCUUGAAGUGAGAGUGGCGCACGGGUGCGUAACGCGUAUGCAACCUACCCUUAACAGGGGGAUAGCCCGGAGAAAUUCGGAUUAAUACCCCAUAGUAUUGCGAUAUGGCAUCGUAUUGCAAUUAAAGCUUCGGCGGUUAAGGAUGGGCAUGCGUAUGAUUAGCUAGUUGGUGAGGUAACGGCUCACCAAGGCUACGAUCAUUAGGGGUUCUGAGAGGAUUAUCCCCCACACUGGUACUGAGACACGGACCAGACUCCUACGGGAGGCAGCAGUGAGGAAUAUUGGUCAAUGGGCGAGAGCCUGAACCAGCCAUGCCGCGUGCAGGAAGACGGCCCUCUGGGUUGUAAACUGCUUUUGUAUGGGAAUAAACCACCGAACGUGUUCGGUGCUGAAGGUACCAUACUGAAUAAGGAUCGGCUAACAUCCGU